This 253-nucleotide ribosomal RNA is filed under the name uncultured bacterium. Its description in RNAcentral is "partial 16S ribosomal RNA". It matches the Rfam family "Bacterial small subunit ribosomal RNA", at positions 524 to 776 of the family's 1533-position model. The record is from RNAcentral.
GACGAACCGUGCAAACGUUGUUCGGAAUCACUGGGCUUAAAGGGCGCGUAGGCGGCUUGCCAAGUCAGUGGUGAAAUCCUGCAGCUUAACUGUAGAAGUGCCUUUGAUACUGGCAAGCUAGAGCGAGGUAGGGGUCUGUGGAACUUCUGGUGGAGCGGUGAAAUGCGUUGAUAUCAGAAGGAACGCCGGUGGCGAAAGCGACGGACUGGACCUUUUCUGACGCUGAGGCGCGAAAGCCAGGGGAGCAAACGGG